This 292-nucleotide ribosomal RNA is filed under the name uncultured bacterium. RNAcentral describes it as "partial 16S ribosomal RNA". It matches the Rfam family "Bacterial small subunit ribosomal RNA", at positions 338 to 646 of the family's 1533-position model. The record is from RNAcentral.
CCUACGGGACGCAGCAGUGGGGAAUAUUGCACAAUGGGGGAAACCCUGAUGCAGCGACGCCGCGUGAGUGAAGAAGUAUUUCGGUAUGUAAAGCUCUAUCAGCAGGAACGAGACAAGACGGUACCCCUUGAAUAAGCCACGGCUAACUACGUGCCAGCAGCCGCGGUAAUACGUAGGUGGCAAGCGUUGUCCGGAUUUACUGGGUGUAAAGGGCGUGCAGCCGGAGAGACAAGUCAGAUGUGAAAUCCACGGGCUCAACCCGUGAACUGCAUUUGAAACUGUUUCCCUUGAG